RNAcentral lists this ribosomal RNA (253 nucleotides) under uncultured bacterium. RNAcentral's name for it is "partial 16S ribosomal RNA". It matches the Rfam family "Bacterial small subunit ribosomal RNA", at positions 524 to 776 of the family's 1533-position model. The record is from RNAcentral.
UACGUAGGGUGCGAGCGUUAAUCGGAAUUACUGGGCGUAAAGCGUGCGCAGGCGGUUUUGUAAGCCAGAUGUGAAAUCCCCGGGCUUAACCUGGGAAUGGCAUUUGGGACUGCAAGGCUUGAGUGCGGCAGAGGAGACUGGAAUUCCUGGUGUAGCAGUGAAAUGCGCAGAUAUCGGGAGGAACACCAGUAGCGAAGGCGGUUCUCUGGGCCGGUACUGACGCUGAGGAGCGAAAGCGUGGGGAGCAAACAGG